Molecule: ribosomal RNA, 140 nt
Filed under: uncultured eukaryote
Lineage: Eukaryota
Description: partial 18S ribosomal RNA
Rfam family: Eukaryotic small subunit ribosomal RNA
Source: RNAcentral
UGGUGGAGUGAUUUGUCUGGUUGAUUCCGUUAACGAACGAGACCUCAGCCUGCUAAAUAGAGACACGAUCCUUCCGGAUGGUGAUCUACUUCUUAGAGGGACUAUGUGUGUUUAACACAUGGAAGUUUGAGGCAAUAACA